This 940-nucleotide ribosomal RNA is filed under the name Desmodesmus sp. NAES-2008. Its description in RNAcentral is "bacterial SSU rRNA". It matches the Rfam family "Eukaryotic small subunit ribosomal RNA", at positions 831 to 1792 of the family's 1831-position model. The record is from RNAcentral. Lineage: Eukaryota; Viridiplantae; Chlorophyta; Chlorophyceae; Sphaeropleales; Scenedesmaceae.
CUGCCUUAUUCGAUUGGCCUGUAGAAGUGAAGUAAUGAUUAAGAGGAACAGUCGGGGGCAUUCGUAUUUCAUUGUCAGAGGUGAAUUUGUUGGAUUUAUGAAAGACGAACUACUGCGAAAGCAUUUGCCAAGGAUGUUUUCAUUAAUCAAGAACGAAAGUUGGGGGCUCGAAGACGAUUAGUGAAUAUACUAGUCUCAACCAGUAUUUUAGCAUGAUGUGGGUUAUGCCCGACUUUUUGUAGUGGUCUGUUAGCACAAAAAAAGAGAUCAAAGUUUAUGCUUUCCAAGGGGAGUAUGAUCGCGGGGCAGAAACUUAAGGAAUUGACAGGAAGGGCCCGACCAGACGUGGAUCCUGCGGUUUAAUUUGGUUGGCCGCGGGAAAACCUUCCAGGUCCAGGCAUAGGAAGGAUUGACAGAUUGGGAGCUCUUUCUUUAUUCUAUGGGUGGUGGUGCAUGGCCGUUCUUAGAUGGAGGGUUGUCUUGUCAGGUUGAUUCCGGUAACGAACGGGCCCUCAGCCUUUAAAUAGUCACUGUCGCUUUUUGCGGUUGGCUUUUGACUUCUUAGAGGGACAGUUGGCGUUUAGUCAACGGAAGUAUGAGGCAAUAACAGGUCGUUGAUGCCCUUAGAUGUUGUGGGCCGCACGCGCGCUACACUGAUGCAUUCAACAAGCCUAUCCCUAGCCGAAAGGCUCGGGUAAUCUUUGAAACUUCAUGAAGAUGGGGAUAGAUUAUUGCAAUUAUUAGUCUUCACCGAGGAAUGCCUAGUAAGCGCAAUUCAUCAGACCGCGAGGAUUACGUCCCUGCCCUUUGUACACACCGCCUGUCGCUCCUACCGAGUGGGUGAACUGGUGAAGUGUUCGGACUGGCAACGAUCGGUGGCAACACCGUCGGUUGCCCAGAAGUUCCUGUAACCCUCCCGCCAAGCGUAACGAGAAGUCGA